Molecule: long non-coding RNA, 308 nt
Filed under: Physcomitrium patens
Lineage: Eukaryota; Viridiplantae; Streptophyta; Bryopsida; Funariales; Funariaceae
Description: long non-coding RNA (PPAT_LNC008304)
Source: RNAcentral
UUGUUAAUCAACUACAUAACAAAAUAACAAUCCUAGCCAAAUAUAUGGGCGUGCCACUCAUACAAACAAAUUUUAAAAGAUCGCCUCAAUAUUUGAUGCUACAUGUAUUGUAUUUUGAUGCUAGUGUGAAUUUUUUUAAUGCAAUUUUUUAUCACAAUAUAUGAUAAACAAUUACUACAGAUAUUACAAAAGAAUCAAAAUUCAGCAUAACAAAGUAUGAUGUAUGACUUAUACAGCCUUCAUUCACCGUUAUAUAUUAAUUAUCAUAAAGAUGAUGAGUGAAUGAUAUCAAAUAAGAAAAAAGAUAU